GAGUGUAUAAUAAUCCUUCAAACAUAUGAAAAACUACGAAAAACUGAACAUAUUAGUGUUCGAUACAUAUGACACACCAUAUAAUAACAAAAAGAACACUAGAAUUCAGAUAUAAAGCAAAGUGCAGGAGGGUUAAAAGCAACAUAUAUAGUACCUAUAUACACUAAAAACUGUGACUGUCUUCAUUAUAGGAGGCAAAACUGAGUGAAAGACUGUUACUAGUAACUAAGGGCUCCUUUGGUUUGCCAUUGCAUACCAGUGAGGUGCGGUUGGGGGGGGGGGGAAUGGCAGCAACCGCACUGGUCAGCCCUUUGGUUCAGCAUGCCAGUCCGGUGAGAAGCAGCCUCCACCACGCUGGUCAGCCCCAAAUCAACUGGAGAUUGUUGGUCCGAUUUCAACUAUUGCUGGUGAAUUGAGAUACACCGAUGCCAUGAAACUGCUGUAUACCUUAGAGGACGCAACCAAAGGUGUAUCCAUCGCCUAGUGAGCAGUCAGCAGCUGACGGUGCUCAAAAGCAAAAGCUGGAUGAUGCCGACAAAAAAAUUGGAAGAAGCAGAUGAGUUGUGCCGAACGCGGGAGGAGAAAGAGGACAGUUCAUGUACUGCCUCAGAAAUGUUCUUUGAGCUAUUGAUGUAUAAACAUUUUCUUUCUUUGAGCUAAAUGCUAUUUGUUGUUUACUUAUAAGUGAUCUUUGAGCUGUUACCAGUAGUAAUUUAGAUUCUUGGUCUCCAAAAUGUUGGUGUAUAAACAAUCAUGAGAAGGAAAAUGUUCGUUUUGCAGCCAAAAGAAAUUUCAUGGUUUUUAUGUUUAUUGAUUGUAGGCUGUCAGAAA
Long non-coding RNA from Gossypium raimondii (Peruvian cotton), 831 nucleotides. RefSeq lists it as uncharacterized. Lineage: Eukaryota; Viridiplantae; Streptophyta; Magnoliopsida; Malvales; Malvaceae. The record is from RefSeq and is a predicted model, not a curated record. The transcript has 4 exons.